UACAGAGGGUGCGAGCGUUAAUCGGAAUUACUGGGCGUAAAGCGUGCGUAGACGGUUAUUUAAGUCGGGUGUGAAAGCCCCGGGCUCAACCUGGGAAUUGCAGUCGAGACUGUCAGACUAGAGUGUGGGAGAGGGUGGUGGAAUUCCCGGUGUAGCGGUGAAAUGCGUAGAUAUCAGGAGGAACACCGAUGGCGAAGGCAGCUCGCUGGGACGGUACUGACGCUGAGGCGCGAAAGCGUGGGGAGCAAACAGG
RNAcentral lists this ribosomal RNA (253 nucleotides) under uncultured bacterium. RNAcentral describes it as "partial 16S ribosomal RNA". It matches the Rfam family "Bacterial small subunit ribosomal RNA", at positions 524 to 776 of the family's 1533-position model. The record is from RNAcentral.